CAGCAGCCGCGGUAAUACGAAGGGGGCUAGCGUUGCUCGGAAUUACUGGGCGUAAAGGGCGCGUAGGCGGCGCUCCAAGUUAGGCGUGAAAUUCCCGGGCUCAACCUGGGGACUGCGCUUAAGACUGGAGUGCUUGAGGAUGGAAGAGGGUUGUGGAAUUCCCAGUGUAGAGGUGAAAUUCGUAGAUAUUGGGAAGAACACCGGUGGCGAAGGCGGCAACCUGGUCCAUUACUGACGCUGAGGCGCGAUAGCGUGGGGAGCAAACAGGAUUAGAUACCCCAGUAGUCCCUGUCUCUUAUAC
Molecule: ribosomal RNA, 301 nt
Filed under: uncultured bacterium
Lineage: Bacteria
Description: partial 16S ribosomal RNA
Rfam family: Bacterial small subunit ribosomal RNA
Source: RNAcentral